RNAcentral lists this transfer RNA (88 nucleotides) under Microbispora rosea subsp. aerata. RNAcentral describes it as "tRNA-Arg". Lineage: Bacteria; Bacillati; Actinomycetota; Actinomycetes; Streptosporangiales; Streptosporangiaceae. The record is from RNAcentral.
GCCCGCAGCGGUGCGCGCGCGGCGCGCGGUGUUUCGGACGGCGCCGCGUGCGGCAGUGCGGGCGACGUUUCAGACGGUGCUGCGGGCG